AGCUGUGGGCUUGUGGGGACGUUACGAACUUUAAAUAAACAAACAAACUAACUAAUUAACUAGAACAAGCUUGAGAUUCUUAACUUCAGACACCUUAGAAACCUCUUGGUUCCAGCAGCCUUAAGUUUCAGUCCCUGCUCUGUGGGGCAUUGUUCUGGAGAAGGUUCAGCUCUGGGGUCCUUUAGCUCUUCAGCGCUUCCACAAAGCCUGGCAAGUUUGGAAUGAACAUUUCCCUACCCCACAUGUCUUCAUUUGCUUCUACUUCUAACGUACUUAGAAAUUAUGGGAUGGAAGAUUCAAAAUGCUAAAUUUCUCUAAUAAUUUAAUUUUUUUUCAUAUACUAUGAAAUACAGAUCACCAUAAGAGGUAAUAGCUUCAAUCGUUCAAGACUACUAAGUGCUAAAAUACACCAGGAUGGAGCUAGGGUCAAUAUUUUUCAUUGGAAACAGGUCUAAUGGCAUUUUUGUUGUUUAUGAGUGUCAUCAACAGAGAUGUUACUAAACUUUGAGUACAGCUGUCAAUCAUCUGGUGUAAGCAUCUAGACUUGUGCACUAGUUAUCCUCGGAUGCCUCCAGCACCGUUCACUAAGUCAGUGACGCAAGUCUGCACUGCUAGGCCACACCACAAAAAACAAUUCCUACUACUAAGAAUUUUCAUGAUUAAUCAGAAAAAUUAAUGAGACAGUUUGUAUGCUUAAUAUAUUUAGCCCAAUUGUAUUUUAAAAGAUUUCUCUGUAAGAGUUGAAGAGCCAGGGUUGGGACACCCAGAGGGGCCCCACCCACUCAGAGGAGAAGGGGAUGGGGGAUGAGGGAAGGGCAGUGGGAGGGGGCAGUGAGUAAGAUAUAAAGUGAAUAAGUAAAAGAGAUAAAAUUAAACUUAAAAAAGUUUCAAAGGAAUCUAUUUCUGCAAAACCCAAACUACUACCGAAGGGAAAAUGUUAUGUUAGUUUUCUAAAUUUGGUAUGAAGGAGAAAAAACGCUGUCGAUUUUUGGCUUAGCACUCCAAAAGUUUUCCAUAGUAUCUGCUUAUUGUCUGCUAGUCAGUGGGCUUAGUUAUCUGUACUAUGCCAUCUCUUACUGAAGCAGCACUGCCUUCAGUCAGGGGUAGGAGGGCUCUCCACCCUUUAACACUCCUGCUCUCCCACCAUGGAACUGUGUAGUUGGCAUUCCCUAGUGUUCUAGAGAUGUCUUCCCUUCAUCAUAUAAACUGCCAGGCAAAGUGAUAUAGUCACUAGUAACACAGCCUUUGUUUUGUGUAAGGGAGGUUACAGAGAAACGGAAAGACCUCAUCCCAGACGCUUCUCGAGGGAGGAGGAGUUUGUGGUUUAUAGAGCCCAAUGGCCCUUAGUCUCGAAUGAGGAGUUCCAGCCCAUCCCAUAGGUUCAGACUGUUACGCAUGAGCUCGCUGGGACGGAGGAAGUGUGAAUAACAUCCAGCGAGCAUCGGCCACUCACAGCCAGGCAGAGGUUCCUAAAAAUAAAAUCUCAUCCAAAUGUAAUAAAGGAUUAUUAUUUUUUCCUCUUAAGAACCAGAAUUAUGGCCCAUGUUUUCAAAAUCACCUCCAGGAAAAUAACCUUCACUUGGGAGGAUUUUUUUAAUUUAGAUUUUUUUGAAGGGAGUAAGGAGCAAUUAUCUUUACUUAAAAGGUUUGUGGCCAAGACACUGUUAGAGAUUUUUAAUUAUGGCUAGGCCUUGAUGCAGUCCCCUGAGAUUUUACUUGAAGCUGUUACAAGCAACACUGAGCCAAUGGGAGCUUUACUUAUGAUAGUUACAGUUACUAGAAUAAAGACAACUCUAGAGAAACUGUCACACCACUGCUUUGUCUGUUCUCUGUCGUGAUAAUAUUGACACUUCUGCUGUUCUAAGUCCCUUCAUAAUUCUGACAUUCCACCAAGAGUGUUAGCGACAUGUUCCCGACAGCUGCUGAGUGUGCUGAGGGCUUUUCCGUUCUUGGUAUAUAAAUCAGUUGCAUUACGGAAGUUAUUCUUUACAUUGUUUGUAGGUCCGUGUGGAGGCAGUGCCAUUCUUCUGUCCCGGCCUGCCUGCCCCACUUCCCUCACCCUAAUCAGUCGUUCCUCCUGAGUGGCCUGGACCAGCUCUGUAGACAGAAAAAGAUGAACCCAGGAGUAUGUCAGUGUCAAGGCCCACAGGACCCACUGUGGCUUUUGAUUUGGAUGUCAUAAUUUGAGAUUGCUUUCCUUAAAUGAGGCACAUGACAGCGAGGACUGUGCCCUGUCGACUGGUUUCUCAGUUCUCUGUUUUCAUUUAAACCGUCAGAGUCAGUAAAAUCAGCCAGUACGAGCUACCUUGCCAAGUGGCCCCCAUGAACAUCCUCCCUGAAAGUGAAGCAUAACACAUUUCAAGUAGAAGAAAGCUUAGCAAAGCCAACAAUGUGUGCAGGUUGAAAGGGUCCUGCAGCUUUGUAGUCAGUUCAAGUGUGUUCUGCGCUGACUGCUGUCCUGCAUCCCUCCCUGAGGGUCUAUACCUUAUAAAUACACUGAACCUCAAGCCUACCUCCACGUCACCUUCUUGACCUGCGUUUCUGAUCUAAAGUGUCCUUGCAUAAGGUCAUUCUUGGGAAUAUUCACAGACAUGUGAGCAGGGCCGUGCCAUCUGUCUGUCCAUCAGACCGUCACAUACGACCAUCACACGCCUACUGAAGGCUUAUGAUUUUGAUGACAUUAUUUUGAAAUGGUUCAAACAGUAAGUGUUGUACUGGGAAUGGCUAAAAGUCUCAUGGUACAAGUAAAGGAUCACCAAGAACAAAGACAGAGAUUGCAUCUGGAAGAAGUUGUGGAGGUCUGAAGUCAGAACUUGAUAACCGUGGUGAUGAAGCCACUUGUAUGUCAUCUCCCAAAGCUGCCCACUAGUCUAAGAAUAUCUGAGGAGAGAGCAUGUGGCUCUGCAUCUCCUCACCCCAGAAGCCAGUAGUCACAGCCUCCAAGUCACAGAGGCAGAAAAUGGCAGUCAGAUUCCGAAGUCUGUGCUUUGACUUUGGGGUGGGCAAAAUGGAGACUAAAGAACAAAGCUAGACGUGGUGGUGUUCUCAAAUGAAAGACACAAAACCUCUAUAUUUACAAUAAGCCUCAAAGCACUAGAGCUGGGCAGAUAUCAACCCUCUGUGCUGUUUUGUUUAUUUCUCUCUCAGGAAUCCCGAGAUGUCAUUUGCCAUGUUCUUCCUGGGUCACUCCUACUCCAACAGGCUGAUCCUUAUGAUCAUGUGCUCAUGAACCAUCUCUUCUCAUAGGAGCUUCCUCCUUCUCCGCCUCCUUUCUUACUCUCCAUUUCUCCUUAGACUCCAAGCCUGGGAACCAAAGCCCUGCCUAUCUCUCUUGAGGUUUGGUCUGUUGCUAUGAAUUAUAAUGCCAAAUUUUGUAGCCCAAAGGUCUAGUAGCCUAUAAGCGAGUAGAUUCUUACAUUUACCAACUUUUGUUGCACAAACCUUGUCCCUUAAUUUAAAACUUUUGGUUAUAUAAAAGUGUUUACAGCCAGUACUGGAGGGAUUAGAGGUAGGCGGGCUUUGAGUUACCUGGAGAGAGGAGAAAGAAGAAGGGCUUGGGAGAGGAGGAAGCCACAGAGAGGAGACAUACAGGGCACACAGCCAGGAGAAACAGCAAGUCUUUGGGGUACACCGCAGGGGAGGUAGCCAGGCCAACAAUUAGAAAAAUAGAUUAUGGGUUGCCCCCUCCCCAGGAAUUGUCGGAGCCAAGUAGAAUAACCACAGUCUGAGUCUCACUCAUUCAUAAGCUAGACAGGAAUAAGUUUACAUUGGUCCAAGUACAGUCCAGCUUGAUGACACUAGUGAGUCUUCUGGGCUUGCUUACAGAGUGCAGUUGGGGGUUCCUGCAGGAGCCUUGGUGACCCCCAAACAACUGCAUCACUACAGAGCCCCCCCCAUCAUAGAUUGCAACCUCAAGGAAGCUGCAUCAUGGAUUCCUGCUCUCUUCAGCCUCUCCCAGGAUCUCAGGCAGCUCUACCACCAAUACCGUAGACCUGCUCCCCACCAUAUUGUUCUGCUAGUUACCAUGCCUAUUGGGCAAAGACCUAGGGUGGCACCAAGGAUCCCAGGAAAGGUGGUGUACAGCAAAAGUUGUAUAUGUGUUUAAGUAGGCUAGCUUAUUCCUGUAAGAAACCAAAUCUUCUGUUUUCACAAAGUGACCUUUCUUUACUGCAGAGGCAGUCCAGGGUUAUUUUCUAUUUCGAGUCAGAAACCCAUCCAUGGAAAGUAGCUCAUUCCUUCCCCGCUAUGGUCAGACUCUGUUUCACCAACCUCUGCCUGUCUAUCAUGCCUCCAGCCAUAUCUUAGCCUCUCAUGGAUGGGGCUAAGGAUUUGCUCAGAAGCCUCUAACAGGACUUUACAUUCUUCAGCACUUUUCUUCACAUGGGGUAAUGCCAAACUCACUUUUUAUCAUGCUUCCCUUGGGCACUGAGAAAAAGAAGAGCCUACCAUGCAGAGCCUCGCUGGGUCUCCUUGAAGUGUAUCCAGACAUACAAGUUGGUAUUUAAAAUAAGGUUUUAUUUGGUUUGCUUGUAGCAAGUUAAGAAAACCGAAUUCCAGGCAUUGAUCUAAUUUUCACAAGUUUCUUGCAGAAUGUCUGGAAACACAAUAGACAUUAUGACCAUGGAUGUCAAAGACUUGGCCACUAGGAAUUGGGUACAGGGUUGAGAUGUAGCAGUGACAGGUCAAUACUAUUCAUGUGUUGAUGAAGACCUGUGUUUACCAUUCUUUGCCUUAGAGAGCCCGUGAGUGAGUCAGGUACUACUUUUCAAUAUACUGCCUCCAGAAAUUAUCAUCUCAUUUCCUUAUUUUCCAUAGAAAAGAAAUAACUUCACUGCUAAAUU
Molecule: long non-coding RNA, 4841 nt
Filed under: Mus musculus (house mouse)
Lineage: Eukaryota; Metazoa; Chordata; Mammalia; Rodentia; Muridae
Description: long non-coding RNA chr6:147608058-147612899
Source: RNAcentral